UUAAGCGACUAAGCGUACACGGUGGAUGCCCUGGCAGUCAGAGGCGAUGAAGGACGUGCUAAUCUGCGAUAAGCGUCGGUAAGGUGAUAUGAACCGUUAUAACCGGCGAUUUCCGAAUGGGGAAACCCAGUGUGUUUCGACACACUAUCAUUAACUGAAUCCAUAGGUUAAUGAGGCGAACCGGGGGAACUGAAACAUCUAAGUACCCCGAGGAAAAGAAAUCAACCGAGAUUCCCCCAGUAGCGGCGAGCGAACGGGGAGCAGCCCAGAGCCUGAAUCAGUGUGUGUGUUAGUGGAAGCGUCUGGAAAGACGCGCGAUACAGGGUGACAGCCCCGUACACAAAAAUGCACAUGCUGUGAGCUCGAUGAGUAGGGCGGGACACGUGGUAUCCUGUCUGAAUAUGGGGGGACCAUCCUCCAAGGCUAAAUACUCCUGACUGACCGAUAGUGAACCAGUACCGUGAGGGAAAGGCGAAAAGAACCCCGGCGAGGGGAGUGAAAAAGAACCUGAAACCGUGUACGUACAAGCAGUGGGAGCACGCUUAGGCGUGUGACUGCGUACCUUUUGUAUAAUGGGUCAGCGACUUAUAUUCUGUAGCAAGGUUAACCGAAUAGGGGAGCCGAAGGGAAACCGAGUCUUAACUGGGCGUUAAGUUGCAGGGUAUAGACCCGAAACCCGGUGAUCUAGCCAUGGGCAGGUUGAAGGUUGGGUAACACUAACUGGAGGACCGAACCGACUAAUGUUGAAAAAUUAGCGGAUGACUUGUGGCUGGGGGUGAAAGGCCAAUCAAACCGGGAGAUAGCUGGUUCUCCCCGAAAGCUAUUUAGGUAGCGCCUCGUGAAUUCAUCUCCGGGGGUAGAGCACUGUUUCGGCAAGGGGGUCAUCCCGACUUACCAACCCGAUGCAAACUGCGAAUACCGGAGAAUGUUAUCACGGGAGACACACGGCGGGUGCUAACGUCCGUCGUGAAGAGGGAAACAACCCAGACCGCCAGCUAAGGUCCCAAAGUCAUGGUUAAGUGGGAAACGAUGUGGGAAGGCCCAGACAGCCAGGAUGUUGGCUUAGAAGCAGCCAUCAUUUAAAGAAAGCGUAAUAGCUCACUGGUCGAGUCGGCCUGCGCGGAAGAUGUAACGGGGCUAAACCAUGCACCGAAGCUGCGGCAGCGACGCUGAUGCGUUGUUGGGUAGGGGAGCGUUCUGUAAGCCUGUGAAGGUGUGCUGUGAGGCAUGCUGGAGGUAUCAGAAGUGCGAAUGCUGACAUAAGUAACGAUAAAGCGGGUGAAAAGCCCGCUCGCCGGAAGACCAAGGGUUCCUGUCCAACGUUAAUCGGGGCAGGGUGAGUCGACCCCUAAGGCGAGGCCGAAAGGCGUAGUCGAUGGGAAACAGGUUAAUAUUCCUGUACUUGGUGUUACUGCGAAGGGGGGACGGAGAAGGCUAUGUUGGCCGGGCGACGGUUGUCCCGGUUUAAGCGUGUAGGCUGGUUUUCCAGGCAAAUCCGGAAAAUCAAGGCUGAGGCGUGAUGACGAGGCACUACGGUGCUGAAGCAACAAAUGCCCUGCUUCCAGGAAAAGCCUCUAAGCAUCAGGUAACAUCAAAUCGUACCCCAAACCGACACAGGUGGUCAGGUAGAGAAUACCAAGGCGCUUGAGAGAACUCGGGUGAAGGAACUAGGCAAAAUGGUGCCGUAACUUCGGGAGAAGGCACGCUGAUAUGUAGGUGAAGUCCCUCGCGGAUGGAGCUGAAAUCAGUCGAAGAUACCAGCUGGCUGCAACUGUUUAUUAAAAACACAGCACUGUGCAAACACGAAAGUGGACGUAUACGGUGUGACGCCUGCCCGGUGCCGGAAGGUUAAUUGAUGGGGUUAGCCGCAAGGCGAAGCUCUUGAUCGAAGCCCCGGUAAACGGCGGCCGUAACUAUAACGGUCCUAAGGUAGCGAAAUUCCUUGUCGGGUAAGUUCCGACCUGCACGAAUGGCGUAAUGAUGGCCAGGCUGUCUCCACCCGAGACUCAGUGAAAUUGAACUCGCUGUGAAGAUGCAGUGUACCCGCGGCAAGACGGAAAGACCCCGUGAACCUUUACUAUAGCUUGACACUGAACAUUGAGCCUUGAUGUGUAGGAUAGGUGGGAGGCUUUGAAGUGUGGACGCCAGUCUGCAUGGAGCCGACCUUGAAAUACCACCCUUUAAUGUUUGAUGUUCUAACGUUGACCCGUAAUCCGGGUUGCGGACAGUGUCUGGUGGGUAGUUUGACUGGGGCGGUCUCCUCCUAAAGAGUAACGGAGGAGCACGAAGGUUGGCUAAUCCUGGUCGGACAUCAGGAGGUUAGUGCAAUGGCAUAAGCCAGCUUGACUGCGAGCGUGACGGCGCGAGCAGGUGCGAAAGCAGGUCAUAGUGAUCCGGUGGUUCUGAAUGGAAGGGCCAUCGCUCAACGGAUAAAAGGUACUCCGGGGAUAACAGGCUGAUACCGCCCAAGAGUUCAUAUCGACGGCGGUGUUUGGCACCUCGAUGUCGGCUCAUCACAUCCUGGGGCUGAAGUAGGUCCCAAGGGUAUGGCUGUUCGCCAUUUAAAGUGGUACGCGAGCUGGGUUUAGAACGUCGUGAGACAGUUCGGUCCCUAUCUGCCGUGGGCGCUGGAGAACUGAGGGGGGCUGCUCCUAGUACGAGAGGACCGGAGUGGACGCAUCACUGGUGUUCGGGUUGUCAUGCCAAUGGCACUGCCCGGUAGCUAAAUGCGGAAGAGAUAAGUGCUGAAAGCAUCUAAGCACGAAACUUGCCCCGAGAUGAGUUCUCCCUGACUCCUUGAGAGUCCUGAAGGAACGUUGAAGACGACGACGUUGAUAGGCCGGGUGUGUAAGCGCAGCGAUGCGUUGAGCUAACCGGUACUAAUGAACCGUGAGGCUUAACCUU
Molecule: ribosomal RNA, 2904 nt
Filed under: Escherichia coli 3-105-05_S1_C1
Lineage: Bacteria; Pseudomonadati; Pseudomonadota; Gammaproteobacteria; Enterobacterales; Enterobacteriaceae
Also listed under: 1 other name
Description: bacterial LSU rRNA
Rfam family: Bacterial large subunit ribosomal RNA
Source: RNAcentral